AUUGAACGCUGGCGGCAGGCUUAACACAUGCAAGUCGAGCGGGGUGAUGGUGCUUGCACUAUCACUUAGCGGCGGACGGGUGAGUAAUGCUUAGGAAUCUGCCUAUUAGUGGGGGACAACAUCUCGAAAGGGAUGCUAAUACCGCAUACGUCCUACGAGAGAAAGCAGGGGAUCACUUGUGACCUUGCGCUAAUAGAUGAGCCUAAGUCGGAUUUGCUAGUUGGUGGGGUAAAGGCCUACCAAGGCGACGAUCUGUAGCGGGUCUGAGAGGAUGAUCCGCCACACUGGGACUGAGACACGGCCCAGACUCCUACGGGAGGCAGCAGUGGGGAAUAUUGGACAAUGGGGGGAACCCUGAUCCAGCCAUGCCGCGUGUGUGAAGAAGGCCUUAUGGUUGUAAAGCACUUUAAGCGAGGAGGAGGCUCUUUUGGUUAAUACCCAAGAUGAGUGGACGUUACUCGCAGAAUAAGCACCGGCUAACUCUGUGCCAGCCGCCGCUGUAA
This 503-nucleotide ribosomal RNA is filed under the name uncultured bacterium. RNAcentral's name for it is "partial 16S ribosomal RNA". It matches the Rfam family "Bacterial small subunit ribosomal RNA", at positions 30 to 523 of the family's 1533-position model. The record is from RNAcentral.